CUACGGGGCGCUCCAGUAGGGAAUCUUCCACAAUGGACGAAAGUCUGAUGGAGCAAUACCAUGUGAACGAUGAAGGUCUUUUUGAUUGUAAAGUUCUUUUAUGAGGGAUAACAACUGAUAGUACCUCAUGAAUAAGUGACAGCAAACUAUGUGCCAGCAGCUGCGGUAAUACAUAGGUCGCAAGCAUUAUUCGGAUUUAUUGGGCGUAAAGCAAGCGCAGGCGGAUGUGUAAGUUCUGUGUUAAAAGUAGCUACUUAAUAGUUGUUUGCACCGAAUACUACAUGUCUAGAAUGUGGUAGGAAGUUUUGGAAUUAAACAUGGAGCGGUGGAAUGUGUAGAUAUGUUUAAGAACACCGGAGGCGAAGGCGAAAACUUAGGCCAUAAUUGACGCUUAGGCUUGAAAGUGUGGGGAGCAAAUGGGAUUAGAUACCCCUGUAGUC
RNAcentral lists this ribosomal RNA (440 nucleotides) under uncultured bacterium. RNAcentral's name for it is "partial 16S ribosomal RNA". It matches the Rfam family "Bacterial small subunit ribosomal RNA", at positions 339 to 795 of the family's 1533-position model. The record is from RNAcentral.